GACGAACGCUGGCGGCGUGCUUAACACAUGCAAGUCGAACGGAAAGGCCCCUUUGGGGGUACUCGAGUGGCGAACGGGUGCGUAACACGUGAGUAACCUGCCCUUGACUUCGGGAUAACUUCAGGAAACUGGGGCUAAUACCGGAUAGGAAUCCUUGCUGCAUGGUGGGGGUUGGAAAGCUUCGGCGGUUUUGGAUGGACUCGCGGCUUAUCAGCUUGUUGGUGGGGUAGUGGCUUACCAAGGCUUUGACGGGUAGCCGGCCUGAGAGGGCGACCGGCCACAUUGGGACUGAGAUACGGCCCAGACUCCUACGGGAGGCAGCAGUGGGGAAUAUUGCACAAUGGGCGGAGGCCUGAUGCAGCAGCGCCGCGUGCGGGAUGACGGCCUUCGGGUUGUAAACCGCUUUCAGCAGGGGCGAAGCUUGUGGUGACGGUACCUGCAGAAGAAGCACCGGCUAACUACGUG
RNAcentral lists this ribosomal RNA (465 nucleotides) under uncultured bacterium. Its description in RNAcentral is "partial 16S ribosomal RNA". It matches the Rfam family "Bacterial small subunit ribosomal RNA", at positions 28 to 507 of the family's 1533-position model. The record is from RNAcentral.